GACUGUGUUGCACAGUGGUUGUCAUGCGUCCUUCUGGUUGAAGGUCGUCGGUUCGAAUCCGGCGGCAGUCG
Molecule: non-coding RNA, 71 nt
Organism: Coprinopsis sp. MPI-PUGE-AT-0042
Lineage: Eukaryota; Fungi; Basidiomycota; Agaricomycetes; Agaricales; Psathyrellaceae
Source: the annotation of a GenBank genome assembly